Long non-coding RNA from Gallus gallus (chicken), 811 nucleotides. NCBI's taxonomy places the organism in Eukaryota, Metazoa, Chordata, Aves, Galliformes, Phasianidae. The record is from Ensembl.
ACCUGAAGUCUGAGUCUGUAGGAGCUGCCUACUGCCUCAGUGUCAGUGGUGCAGAGCUGGCACCAGUGUCUCCUGAGGCUGAGUCUGGAUUUUGUACUUAUGAAGAGGUUUAUUUUCCAGUUUUGUUCAAAUACAGCAGUCUCCCAAGAGCAACAUUGUAGAGAUUUUGACUGUGGAAGAUGGCAGAAUUCUUGCAAGAUUAACAACAUUUGCGCUAUGGCCAUCUAUCAAUUAAAAACCUUACGUGGUCCAAAACAUUCCCCUCAGCCCAGCUCUGAUGGAUCUUUUAAACGAACACUUACAUUCACAAACUGCUGGAGAAUGCCCCGUUGAUCACAAAGUGGGAUACUAAUGUUUGACCUGAUUCUGCAAGGCAAUGAGACUUACAAGUUUUGUAUGUCUGACGAUUCCCAGAAGCCAAUAAAUGCAACAAGGAUGUUGGCUAGUUGGUGUAUUUCAGUAUUCAACAGUAUUCAAGAAGAAAAACCAGUCAAGAGAGAGCAAACUACAAAGGAGUUUUCUAGAGGAAAUUUGCUUAAAGUCCACAGAAGAAUGAGAUGCACUGAUGUCUAGGAGGAGCAGACAGGACUUCAAAUACCAUGGAGUCAUCCUGGAAAAAGCCUUCCUGGAACAGCAGAUUUGUGGAACUCGCUUUAUUUACUACACAAGAUCUGAAUCAGUUUUGUUUAAGGAAAAUAACUGUUCUAAAUGAGAUGUUGUGAGCACUUAUCUAUCGGUCGCUUUGAUCUAUUUUGACUCAUCCUUUUAAAUUUGAACACAACAUAGGAAUACAGUAACAGUAACUUCCUCA